GAUGAAGAACGUAGCGAAAUGCGAUAAGUAAUGUGAAUUGCAGAAUUCAGUGAAUCAUCGAAUCUUUGAACGCACAUUGCGCCCCCCAGUAUUCUGGCGGGCAUGCCUGUUCGAGCGUCAUUUCAACCAUCAAGCCCUGCUUGUGUUGGGGUCCUGCGGCUGCCCGCAGGCCCUGAAAACCAGUGGCGGGCUCGCUAGUCACACCGAGCGCAGUAGCACAUCUCGCUCAGGGCGUGCGGCGGGCUCCAGCCGUUAAAGCACCCACCUUUCGCAAGGUUGACCUCGGAUCAGGUGGGAAUACCCGCUGAACUUAAGCAUAUCAAUAAGCGGAGGA
RNAcentral lists this unclassified non-coding RNA (334 nucleotides) under soil metagenome. RNAcentral describes it as "partial contains 5.8S ribosomal RNA, internal transcribed spacer 2, and large subunit ribosomal RNA". The stretch from base 1 to 120 matches the Rfam family "5.8S ribosomal RNA", at positions 35 to 154 of the family's 154-position model. The record is from RNAcentral.